Molecule: ribosomal RNA, 459 nt
Filed under: uncultured bacterium
Lineage: Bacteria
Description: partial 16S ribosomal RNA
Rfam family: Bacterial small subunit ribosomal RNA
Source: RNAcentral
CCUACGGGUGGCAGCAGUGAGGAAUAUUGGUCAAUGGGCGGGAGCCUGAACCAGCCAAGCCGCGUGAGGGAAGAAGGUACAGCGUAUCGUAAACCUCUUUUGUCAGGGAACAAAGGCGGGGACUAGUCCCCGGAUGAGGGUACCUGAAGAAAAAGCAUAGGCUAAUCUCGUGCCAGCAGCCGCGGUAAUACGGGGGAUGCGAGGUUUAUCCGGAUUGAUUGGGGUUAAGGGGUGCGCAGGGGGCCUGUUAAGUCAGGGGGAAAAGCCCGGGGCUCAACCCCGGCGAGCCGUUGAAACUGGCUGGCUGGAGUUGGAGAGAGGUACGCGGAAUGCGCGGUGUAGCGGUGAAAUGCUUAGAUAUCGCGCGGAACCCCGAUUGCGAAGGCAGCGUACCGGCUCCACACUGACGCUGAGGCACGAAAGCGUGGGUAUCGAACAGGAUUAGAUACCCCGGUAGUC